RNAcentral lists this RNase P RNA (404 nucleotides) under Amycolatopsis sulphurea. RNAcentral describes it as "Bacterial RNase P class A". It matches the Rfam family "Bacterial RNase P class A". Rfam says of the family: Ribonuclease P (RNase P) is a ubiquitous endoribonuclease, found in archaea, bacteria and eukarya as well as chloroplasts and mitochondria. Its best characterised activity is the generation of mature 5'-ends of tRNAs by cleaving the 5'-leader elements of precursor-tRNAs. Lineage: Bacteria; Bacillati; Actinomycetota; Actinomycetes; Pseudonocardiales; Pseudonocardiaceae. The record is from Rfam by way of RNAcentral.
CGAGCUGGCAGGACGGUCGCGGCCCGGGUUUCCCGGUCCGAGGAAAGUCCGGACUCCGCAGGGCAGGGUGGUUGCUAACGGCAACCCGGGGUGACCCGCGGGACAGUGCCACAGAGAACAGACCGCCCUCGCCGGAUCUCGAUCCGGUGAGGGUAAGGGUGAAACGGCGGUGUAAGAGACCACCAGCAUCCCGGGUGACCGGGAUGGCUCGGUAAACCCCACCCGGAGCAAGGCCAAGAGGGAGCGCCCGGCGCUCCUGCGCAGGCGAUCGAGGGCGGCCCGCCCGAGCCUGCGGGUAGGCCGCUGGAGCCUGCCGGCGACGGCAGGCCGAGAUGGAUGACCGUCGCCCGGACGGCCGCGAGGCCGGUCGGGAACAGGAUCCGGCUUACAUGCCAGCUCGUCCG